GAUAUCAUGCCAAAUUUCCCCUGUUUUCUCAGCAACCAAACACGCAAUUUUCCCGGCCCCCGUGCUCCUGGCGCCAUUUUCUGCCACUCAACCCUCGCCAGUCCUCGCCUCUGCUAAGGUUUGAAGGUGAAAGAGACACUCGAAAAGACUAUAAUGCAGCCAACAAACUCUAUGAACCCAAUGACUCAUCCAAUGAUUCCGAUGAACCGCCCAAUUCAAUUCACACACACCAUGCCUCAGCCCUGGUUUCCGAUACUACCUUCAGCUCCGCCAUUGUCGACCGCUUUUUGGCAGAACACAAAUGUGCUUGAUAGCCUUCAAGAUCUACGCAACACAAUCGAUCUCGCAAAAGCUAUGAAAAAGGAGCUAGAGGGAUUGAUCAGGAUCAAAGAUGGUAAAGGGUCUGCGGUGGAUGUAGAUACUGGAUCAACGGAGACUUCAUUACUUAGCCUCCCUAGGUUUCUUGAUAAUAAUAAAAUUGAUUUGUUAUCGCGGGAGUCAUGUCCAUUGCAAGCUGCAAAUGCUAUAAUAUCAAAGUUAGGAGCUCAACUUAAGCCAUUUGGAGUUGCCACGAAUGAAACAAGUCCGUGGGAGGAAAAGUCUGCAGCAGUAAGAUUAGCUAAUAAAAUGCAGAAGUCCAAACAAAACAAAAAUUGGAGGAAAAGAAAGAGGAGGCGUAUUGCAGAAAUGCUUGCGAAGGAACAUGAGCAAUUUGACAAAGCUGAUCAAGAAGCUGACGAGUGGAGGGCUAGAGAGAUUGCAAAUGUUAUUGCAAAACGGAAGGUAGAAAAGAUGAAGGAAAUUGCAAAACUGAAAGCAAAAGAAGAGAAAAAGAUAUUAGAAUCUGAGCUUGAACUUGUGUUGAUUGUGGAGAAAUUGCAAGAAUUGCGGUCUAUCAGGAUCCAAAAAUUGAAAAAACAAGGCCAUUUUCUCCCAGAGGAGGAUGAUAAGUUCCUUGAAAAAGUUCAAGCUGCAGUUGAGGAAGAGGAGCGCCAAGAGAUGGCCGCAGCUGACACCGAUGCUGCUAAGGAGGCAAUUGCAACUGCAGAGGACUUUAGAAAAAUUAUUCAGACCCGCGAACCUGACUUAAAAGUUGCAAGUGGUAAUAACGGUCAAAAUGAGGAUAGUCAAGACCAGACAACUCAGAGUGAAAACAUAAGAGGCUCAAGUGCAGUCACUGGUGAAGAAUCUAGAAAGCUAGGAUCAGAAGGACAAAGUCAUGUUAGGGCAUAUGAUUCUGUGGCUGGUUUACCAAUUGAGUUUUAUCACUAUUAUCAUGGCAGCAAUACCGACAUGGGAACACUUAUAGAGGUUAGAAGAACAUGGGAUCAAUAUAUAAGACCAGGGGGAAGACAAAUACCAGGGCACUGGGUUCGACCACCACCUCCAGCAGAUGACUUAUGGGCAUCCUACCUGGUGCAGCCUGAAUGACUCUGUCUGAAUUGCUAAGUUUGUGGCCGAUGUUGUAUUAGGGUAUCUGUCGGAUCUUUAACAGUUAGCUGGCAUGGCGGAGAUUGGGAUUUCUGAAUCAUUUAAAGUUAAGCAGGCCGUAUUGCUCUCAGCAACCGAGGCUGCAGAGAUGAUUCUCAGAGUUCAUGAAACAAUCACUUGUGCCUCAGAAGAGAGAGAAUGGAAUGUGAAAACUACACCUAGCAAUUGGCUUGCCUAAAUGCAUUAGGUAAUGGCGUAAAAUCACGAGGCCUGAUCGCCUGCAGAUGGAAAGUUCGCCUUCAAUGAUGUUAUCUGAAUAUUUGAAACCCUCUAUAGUUGUCCUGGGCCUUUAAUGGGUGUCUUGCUUUUGUUGUUCUAUUUCAAAGUUCUGGGGUUUCAAAUUAAAGAUCAAAAGGAAUAGAAUUGAGCCUUUUUUAUUUAUAAGAUUUUUAAACUCCUUAUAUUAUUGAAAAUUAUAUUUAUGUAACAUUUGGUAUAUAACGUCUUUAUACAUUUUAUUAAAAUUAAUUUGAAGAAAAUUGUUGAAUUUCUAA
Non-coding RNA from Camellia sinensis, 1985 nucleotides. NCBI's taxonomy places the organism in Eukaryota, Viridiplantae, Streptophyta, Magnoliopsida, Ericales, Theaceae. The record is from RefSeq and is a predicted model, not a curated record.